AAAUUGAAGAGUUUGAUCAUGGCUCAGAUUGAACGCUGGCGGCAGGCCUAACACAUGCAAGUCGAACGGUAACAGGAAACAGCUUGCUGUUUCGCUGACGAGUGGCGGACGGGUGAGUAAUGUCUGGGAAACUGCCUGAUGGAGGGGGAUAACUACUGGAAACGGUAGCUAAUACCGCAUAACGUCGCAAGACCAAAGAGGGGGACCYUCGGGCCUCUUGCCAUCRGAUGUGCCCAGAUGGGAUUAGCUWGUWGGUGGGGUAACGGCUCACCUAGGCGACGAUCCCUAGCUGGUCUGAGAGGAUGACCAGCCACACUGGAACUGAGAC
RNAcentral lists this ribosomal RNA (328 nucleotides) under Escherichia coli. RNAcentral describes it as "bacterial SSU rRNA". It matches the Rfam family "Bacterial small subunit ribosomal RNA", at positions 1 to 325 of the family's 1533-position model. The record is from RNAcentral. Lineage: Bacteria; Pseudomonadati; Pseudomonadota; Gammaproteobacteria; Enterobacterales; Enterobacteriaceae.